CAGGUCCUAUGUAGGAGGCAGCAGAGACUCUGCUCUCCUCGUUUGGAUUAAUUCUGAUAUAAUAACUGUUGGUUUAUUUAUCGGUGGAGCAGCAGAACCUUUUCCACAGACAGUUUUCCUGCCCGUUGGCUUGUUUUAACCAGUUUUCUGCCUCCAGCUGAUUCUACCAGCAGACACUGAAAAGACUCUGAUAGUUCGAGUGAAAGUAACAGUUCCUCCUGAAGGUCAGAGAUCGCAGCAUCUGAGGGCCUCUUCAAAAGAAGAUGUAGUUGAUGAAGGCGUUCUGGAGCAGGACCAGAAAGACCACGACCAAGCAGCCUUGAGAUCUUAGGCAGCAUCUCCCUCAGGUCCCUCUCUAUCUCCCCACACAUCCACCAACCACUGGAACACAUCUCCAAAGUUCUGCCGGGCCAGCUCAGCUUCCCCUCAGAAGAAGUGGCGCCACCUGCCAGAUGAAGGAGCCUUUUGAGAGGCAGCUGGCAUCGUGAUUGGACUGUACUUUGGUCUGUUCCAAUCCAGCUUCAGCUCCAGAGACGGCAGGCGGGACGAGUCAACGGAGGCCGGGUGGACGAAGUCAUGCAGCUGAGUACAAUCCAGAAAACAACAGAGGAGGAGUGCAGGGCCAGAACAAAC
Molecule: long non-coding RNA, 633 nt
Organism: Amphiprion ocellaris (clown anemonefish)
Lineage: Eukaryota; Metazoa; Chordata; Actinopteri; Pomacentridae
Source: Ensembl